GACGAACGCUGGCGGCGCGCCUAAUACAUGCAAGUCGAACGGGUACCUCUUCGGAGGUGCUAGUGGCGGACGGGUGAGUAACACGUGGGCGACCUGCCUUUGAGUGGGGAAUAACGCUGGGAAACCAGCGCUAAUACCGCAUACGCUCGCUGCUUCAUUGCAGUGAGGAAAGCUUAAUGCGCUCAAAGAGGGGCCUGCGGCGGAUUAGCUAGUCGGUGGGGUAACGGCCGUACCGAGGCACCGAUCCGUAGCUGGUCUGAGAGGAUGAUCAGCCACACUGGGACUGAGACACGGCCCAGACUCCUACGGGA
Molecule: ribosomal RNA, 311 nt
Filed under: uncultured bacterium
Lineage: Bacteria
Description: bacterial SSU rRNA
Rfam family: Bacterial small subunit ribosomal RNA
Source: RNAcentral